GGGCAUGCAAUUUCUGGCCACAUGGGGAGGACAUGCGGUUAGCCUUUGGUCACGGAGACCUUUGCCCUUUCAAGAUAAAGUGAUCUUCAGCUCUCUUCCCAGCACCAGCCGCUCUCAGCUGCACAGCCCUCCCUGAAUGUGUGAACCAAAGUCACUGGUUCCAAGAAGAAAGAGCAUCCUCCAUCCCCACCCCACCCCCACCCCCACCCCACCCCACUCCCACCCCAUCCCACCCCAGCGCUUGUGGAGUGUAAGACAGAGGUUCCCAGCCCUGAGAUACGGACAGGCAUCGGGCAGGCCUAUACCUCCCUCCACGCCGAGUCACCAGCACUCACCCCACAGGCUGACCGUCCACGCAGAGCUGGUGGUGGGUUCAGAGGGUUUAGCUGAUGCGAGAGUCGGAGCCCUGGGCAAAGUUUGUGACAAAAUGACAGUAGACACCCAGUGUUGCAGAACCCCAGAUCUGGGAGGACUUCGGAGAUUACCCAGACCAACUACCCCCACUUCUUGUUUUACAGUUGGGCAAACUGAGGCCUGGAGAGGGGAAGGAGAUGGGGCUAAGAUGCGCCACCAGCUGGUGAUAGAGCCUAGAUGGGACCGUGGCGCUGUGCCUUCCAUUCAGGUGCUGGUUGCCCCACUCUUUCAUCUGUGGAAUUAUCUGUAUGAUCAGAAGUUUGGGGCUGGGGGCAGGACAACUGUCAGUCAGGGGCCACUGUCGCCAGAGUGCUAGGGUUCAAAUCCUUCCUUCUCAGCGAAGCCUUGGGCCAGCGAGUUCUUCUCUCCAAGACUUGGCCUCUUUAUGUGUUAAGUAAUGGGGGUAAUAACUGACCCUGGGCCGGGCGUGGUGGCUCACGCCUGUAAUCCCAGCACUUUAGGAGGAUGAGGAGGGCGGAUCACUUGAGGCCAGGAGUUCAGGACCAGCCGAGUCAGCAUGGUGAAAACCCAUCUCUCCUAAAAAUACAAAAAUUAGCUGGGCGUGGUGGCGGGCACCUGUAAUUCCAGCUACUUGGGAGGCUGAGGGAAGAGAAUCACUUGGACCUGGGAGGCAGAGGUUGAAAUGAGCAGAGAUUGCGUCACUG
RNAcentral lists this long non-coding RNA (1079 nucleotides) under Homo sapiens (human). RNAcentral's name for it is "non-protein coding lnc-C9orf50-5:2". Lineage: Eukaryota; Metazoa; Chordata; Mammalia; Primates; Hominidae. The record is from RNAcentral.